CCGGAAUAUUUUAAUACCUUCGCAGUUUUUAUUCGCAUGGCGCCUCACUCGAUAUUACCCUCGGGGCGACGCAUUUACUCCAACCUCUGAAACCCCUACGUGCGUGCAGGUUCUUCUGGUAUGUUAUGCAAAGUCCGCUGAAUAUUUAAAGGCAAGGUAAACCCUGCAUGGUAUUUUAAGUACAAUAUUUCGGACGGAUUCUGAAUCUUGCUUUUUGCGUUCUGUUCAUUGUGUUUUACUUCAGAAUAACUCUAAAACUACUGGACAAUCUAAAAGCAGGCAUACGAAAAACUUAGAACCGUUACAAGCAACAGGUGAAAAUGAGCUCUUGCAGCUUUUCUUUAGCUUUUUCUUUAGACUAAGUCCUCAUAUGAGAGACCUUUGCACACCAGCUGUCAUUUGAACGGGAAUUUGCCGGCUCUCAGGAAAGUGACGAGAUUAUCGCCAUAUUUAAUUCCAAGCCUAGACGCCUGCGUCUGGUCUAGAAGGCCAAAACCUCACAAGAGAGGAAUGAGCCAUGGAGCUGCUGCAAGGAUGAAGAUGGGGUGGCAGGCAACUGAGAAAGAUGCACUAGAUCUUGGGUCCUGGGUUUGAUUCCGGACUGGGCUGCCGUCUCUGUGGGGCUCACGGUUUCUCCCUGCGUUCAUGUGGGAUGUCACCCACAGAAACGCAGGGCCUAUGAGUAUUGACUACAGCUGGACCGCCUGCAGUUGGCCAUGCAAGAAGAUAAGUAGCAUAACACACAGAUCCCUUUUUCAGAUGGUGGCAAGUGUGAAGAGGGACGCUUCUCUUAGUAUCUAUAUGAGUUGAAAGAUAAAGGAGGGUGCUAUCUGGAACAUUGGGAAUCUGUUAAUUGCUGAACUUCUUCCAGAAUAGUUUUACACACACAUCGUAGUGCAAUUCUACAUGCAUGCGUUCAUUUACAUGUACCAGAAAAUUUAGAACAUGUAGCUUGUGAUUCCUUUGGUGUGGAAUGUUAUUUAUCUGUUUAAGGAAAGACAGAGUUUCUUUUUAUAUGAAUUCGUACAUUUGCAUUGUUAAUAGGUGUCUUUUAGAAAAGAUCUAGUAAUAAACGUUCAGUGAAUGAUGACGGGGAUUGUGUACAUCCUGGUUUAAGCUCUGUGUUUCUACUGUUAGAAAGGUUCUACCUGUGUGUAAGUUGUCCUCAAGAGUAACUGUGCAACUCUUCUUUGAUGUGCAGAUCACCUAUUCUUUUCUCUUGCUUUAAUAAUUCAUGCUGCUGUUUUAAGGUUGAAAACCUUCUGUUGCCUCUGGAUGUUGAACGUCUUGUUUACCAGCCUAGCAAAACAUCACACCUAGUCCUGCUGUGUGAUACUGGAGGUUUCUGAGCAAACAGAGAAGCACUGAGCAGUAACACUGAGCUGUGAGUGAUGGCUGCUCAAUACAGUGCGGGAGCUCAGAGAAUUUUCAUGCCGCAAAAGUGGGCGAUCCUAACAAACACAGCAGUGACUAUAUCAGCAUUAAUGCAAAACAUUAUUGGAUACAAUGAGGUUCUGAUCAAACUUUAUAUGUAAGUGAAAGCCUGUUGUUGUUGGGGAUAUCUCAGAGGUAGCAAAAGCCAUAUAUUCCAAUCCAAACUGUUUAAUACAAGGCGUCUGAAUGCCACAGCGUCUGAUUCAGAUGGCUGAGCUCUGGGAUUUUUUCAAAGCAGUGUAUUCAAUAAACCAAUUUGUCAUCUGUUUUUUGAGACAGCAAAUAACCAUCCGUGCAUGAGAUAAGAGCCCCAAACAGCCUUUAAUUAACUAAUAAAAGAAAUUGAUAGAAUCACUUAAUUAAAGGUGUAUCAAUAAUUAAUAGACUUUUGGUCACAGCUCAUGAAUAUUUUAAAUGUAGUUUAGCUGAUUUUUUGUGUGUGUUUUAUUUAAAGUCUAAUGGCAUAUUAAUUGUGGCAUCUUACACUCAAUAGUAAAUUAAUUGGUUGUUUAUGUAGCCAAGCGCAGUGCACCAUCACCACAAUGACGGUUUUUCAUUAUAAACACACUGGAAGUCCAUCUGUGGAGAGUAGACGCACAGCCUCCUAAUACACACAGUUAAAUAGUCAAUAGGGUUUUGUCUGAAGACGUUUGCUCAUGCUCGAGUCCUGUAAUUGCAGAUUUUCCCAGUGGAAGAAAGGAUGGAUGGGAUGGACAAAAGCCAAACAAGAAGGAUUACAGUUCCAGGCAGUUGCUUGCUGCUUGGCGGUGACAGCAGGGCCCCAGCCAGGUGACAGCAGGGACGUGGGGAGACCGGUGCCAGGGCUGACCGGACUGGGCUGGAGUGGGGAAUUAGCAGACUAGGCGGGCAGCCACCGCAGCAUGCAGUAUCUGUGCAGAUUCAGAUGCCAUCCCACAAGGCGUACAGACCAACUGAAAGGCUCAUCUGCCUGUCCACGUACAGGCAGAACUGUGUGUGCAAGACUCAUUGCGAUCAGUGGGUCCCGAUCAUCCGGUUCCUACUGAACGACCCAUUCUUCCUGUAUCCCUCAUGCUCCCUCCCCCUUCCUGCCCCAGCUGGAGGCCCAGUCUCUCAGUCAGAGCCCUGCGUGUGAGAAGACAAGGAGGGCAUGUGUGUUCUCAGAACUGCAUCCACACAAGUCUGCAGUGGACUCAGGAGGGUCUUCUGAGCCCAGAGGUCAGAGCAGAAGACAGCCCUGAGGUACGGGCGAAAAACAGGCAGCACCCUGAAGACACCACUGCAUCAAUUGCUCUUCUUUUACAAACAAACUUCUUGUCAAGUCAUGCACAAUAACACAGUCCUGUUUUCUUUUCAGCUGAAAAACAAGGCUCUAUGUUUAUAAAGGCAAUAUUCAGGAAUUCACUUGUUUUUAUUAGAUUCAAAUUACACCAAAUUCUCUCUUCUGGAGAGUACAGCUUUUUAUGUAAUUAUUUGGGCAAAAAAGACAUUGUCAAGAAUUCGACCGUAGAAACCUAACUGGGUUUUGAACCUGUGUCUCCCCAUUCUGAUGUGCAGAGGCUGCUUUUAUGAAAUUUCCCUUUUUCACUGGUAUGCUUAAAUGAGAGGGAAAUAUUCAAAUGCAGAGGUUUAGAGGCACGCUCUGCCUGGCAGGUUUGUGCUUCAGUGAUUUGCUCAACACUGUCAGCUCUGGAAUAUCCAAGGCUGAAAGCUCCCAUGUCUCUCUGGUUUCCAAGCUGAGGUUAGUCAGGUGCAAGAGCCUUGCUGGUUUCCAUGGA
Molecule: long non-coding RNA, 3191 nt
Organism: Lepisosteus oculatus (spotted gar)
Lineage: Eukaryota; Metazoa; Chordata; Actinopteri; Semionotiformes; Lepisosteidae
Source: RefSeq, a predicted model, not a curated record